Molecule: long non-coding RNA, 1749 nt
Filed under: Heterocephalus glaber (naked mole-rat)
Lineage: Eukaryota; Metazoa; Chordata; Mammalia; Rodentia; Bathyergidae
Description: lncRNA (ENSHGLG00000042316.1)
Source: RNAcentral
GUUAGAGGGAGCCCUGCUGCAGUAGAAGGAAGCACAGCUGGCCCUCAAAGUGUGACUGGUGUCCCAAGCAGGAGGCUGACCCAGGGACAGGAAGAGGAAGUGGGAUUGCUCUGGAGAAGCCAUAGAAGAACCAAAUCAGCACAUCAGACAAGCUCCCUGGUUCUGGAUGCAUGUGAUCAAAAUCCUCAAUGACAAGAUGUAAUUAACCCCAGACAAAAGGAAGAAUUGGGCAUCAGAACACGGGUCCCCAGCAACCGCAAGGGCAGGUAGCCAGGGUGCCUUUGCCUCUCCAAGUCACUGCUGGGGAAUGAGGGAGAUGCACCCCGGGGCUCUGGGUGGUGCGGUGUCCCUGAGAGCGACAGUCACACCCUGGGUGUGGUUUGUGCCUAAAAGCAGCAGACACAGAGGCAGGGGGACUCAAGAACUCAGGGGACCUCCACUUCCCCUUCUUGAAAAGUCUGCUUGAGGGAGAAACACAUUGAGUUUGCAGAUGUCUCCAAAUGAAGAAUCCGGCAGGGAAGAAGCUGUGAUCAAGAACGGGAGCUGAACGUUUAACCCAUUUAGACUCAAAAUGAAUGGGAUGUACAGGUCUGAAGGAGAAAGCUCCCGCAGUGUCAGGUACGUUGCUGCCCACCGACUGUAAAGACACCGCCUAAACUCAGAAAUAAAGUAGUUCCAAUGAAAGUGGGGGACAGCAGACACAGACAGAGUAAAACAGUGGAAAAUCAGAGGGCCCUGACAUCAUGGUGAAGGAUUCGGCCAGCUGUGGACUCAGACAGCUGAAGGAGGAUGGAAACAGACAGGAAGUCCAGGCUGUGCUGUGCCCAGCCCAGAGGCCUCCGGCUUCCCUACACAGGAUUCCAGUCCCAGGGACACCGGGGAGCCACGGGAGUCCAGAAGACCUCUGGGUGCUUCCCCCUGCCCUGCAUUUCUCUGUCCUCUCUCCCAUGCCUCUGGAUAAUGGAAAUGGUUCUUAAUAAAUUCCCACUUCUCACAAGCUUUACAGUAAAGAUGAUCCUCCUGGGAGAUGAUCCUGGGACAGGCUCGGGGCUGGCUGCAGGGCAGAGGGGCCAGGCCUGCAUGUGACACUGACCCUCCCUGGUUUCCAUGGUCACUGUCCCUGAGGUGCUGUCUUCAUCCUGCCUGGAAGUCUCCAGUAGCAUAAGGAAGCACAAGGAAGACAGGGAAGUGGCAUGGGUGUGGUCCCCAGAGUCACUUGGGCAUCUCUUGACUACACAGCUGAGUUUCCUGGUGGUCUCAUGCAAAGAGUUGAGUCUUUCAAAAAUGGUGACGUUUUCUGCUUUUUAAAGCAAUUAGGGAAGCAGCCUGACACAGGUAUGAACCCCUCAGGCAGCUUGAGUUUUCAGGGGGUGCUGAGCAGUGAGCCAGAUAUUCUGGGGAUCAGAGGAGGACGGAUGACAGGGAGAGCAGCCUACGGAGAUGGAGAAGGUGGCAGAACGGGGGUCUUCCCCAAGGCAGGUCCCAGGUCUGGAUGCCAUGUUCCCAUUUUAGGCAGGGACUUGGGGGCACAAGAAGCCCAUCAGGGUGCUUCCUUGGGGUUCCCAUGGAGCCUGGGGAUGUCCAGGAAGUACCCCCCUCGGUGGCCAGCCACCCCGCGCAGUCUUUACUAUGAAGUGACUCUGCCUGCUGGUCAUCACGGCCAGGGUGGUCUUGGAGUCUGACCGGUCCUCUAGGUUGUCCUUCACCUGAGAGCAGCACCAAGGGAAGCUGGAAAGAGCUGAGAUGGGG